RNAcentral lists this ribosomal RNA (497 nucleotides) under uncultured bacterium. RNAcentral describes it as "partial 16S ribosomal RNA". It matches the Rfam family "Bacterial small subunit ribosomal RNA", at positions 28 to 507 of the family's 1533-position model. The record is from RNAcentral.
GAUGAACGCUGGCGGCGUGCCUAAUACAUGCAUGUCGAGCGAACAGACGAGGAGCUUGCUCCUCUGACGUUAGCGGCGGACGGGUGAGUAACACGUGGAUGACCUACCUAUAAGACUGGGAUAACUUCGGGAAACCGGAGCUAAUACCGGAUAAUAUAUUGAACCGCAUGGUUCAAUAGUGAAAGACGGUUUUGCUGUCACUUAUAGAUGGAUCCGCGCCGCAUUAGCUAGUUGGUAAGGUAACGGCUUACCAAGGCAACGAUGCGUAGCCGACCUGAGAGGGUGAUCGGCCACACUGGAACUGAGACACGGUCCAGACUCCUACGGGAGGCAGCAGUAGGGAAUCUUCCGCAAUGGGCGAAAGCCUGACGGAGCAACGCCGCGUGAGUGAUGAAGGUCUUCGGAUCGUAAAACUCUGUUAUUAGGGAAGAACAAAUGUGUAAGUAACUAUGCACGUCUUGACGGUACCUAAUCAGAAAGCCACGGCUAACUACGUG